RNAcentral lists this ribosomal RNA (490 nucleotides) under uncultured Thauera sp. RNAcentral's name for it is "bacterial SSU rRNA". It matches the Rfam family "Bacterial small subunit ribosomal RNA", at positions 903 to 1382 of the family's 1533-position model. Lineage: Bacteria; Pseudomonadati; Pseudomonadota; Betaproteobacteria; Rhodocyclales; Zoogloeaceae. The record is from RNAcentral.
AAGAAACUACGAAAGGAAUUGACGGGGCCCGCACAAGCGGUGGAGCAUGUGGUUUAAUUCGAAGCAACGCGAAGAACCUUACCAGGUCUUGACAUCCCGAUGCUUAUUUCUAGAGAUAGAAAGUUACUUCGGUUACAUCGGUGACAGGUGGUGCAUGGUUGUCGUCAGCUCGUGUCGUGAGAUGUUGGGUUAAGUCCCGCAACGAGCGCAACCCUUGUCACUAGUUGCCAUCAUUUGGUUGGGCACUCUAGUGAGACUGCCGGUGACAAACCGGAGGAAGGUGGGGAUGACGUCAAGUCCUCAUGGCCCUUAUGGGUAGGGCUUCACACGUCAUACAAUGGUCGGUACAGAGGGUUGCCAACCCGCGAGGGGGAGCUAAUCCCACAAAGCCGAUCGUAGUCCGGAUCGCAGUCUGCAACUCGACUGCGUGAAGUCGGAGUCGCUAGUAAUCGCGGGUCAGCAUACUGCGGUGAAUACGUUCCCGGGCCUU